UACAGAGGUCCCGAGCGUUUGUUCGGAUUCAUUGGGCGUAAAGGGUGCGUAGGCGGCUUCCUAAGUUUGAUGUGAAAUCCUGGGGCUCAACCCUGGAACUGCAUUGAAUACUGGGAGGCUAGAGUACUGGAGAGGAAACUGGAAUUUACGGUGUAGCAGUGAAAAUGCGUAGAGAUCGUAAGGAAGACCAGUGGCGAAGGCGAGUUUCUGGACAGUUACUGAC
Molecule: ribosomal RNA, 223 nt
Filed under: uncultured bacterium
Lineage: Bacteria
Description: partial 16S ribosomal RNA
Rfam family: Bacterial small subunit ribosomal RNA
Source: RNAcentral